GGUACGCUGGCGGCGUGUCUUAGCCAUGCAAGUCGAGCGGACUUAUGGGGUAACUUAUAAGUCAGCGGCGGACGGCGGAGUAACACGUAGCUAACCUACCCUCUGGACGGGGAUAACCUACCGAAAGGUGGGCUAAUACCCGAUGUAGUCAUCCUGUAUAGGGGUGAUGAAAGGUGGGCUUCUGUUUACAAGCUCAUGCUGGAGGAGGGGGCUGCGGCCUAUCAGGUAGUUGGUAGGGUAAUAGCCUACCAAGCCGAUGACGGGUAGCCGGCCUGAGAGGGUGACCGGCCCGAGGGGCACUGAGAUACGGGUCCCACUCCUACGGGAGGCAGCAGGCUAGAAAUUUGGGCAAUGGGGGAAACCCUGACCCAGUGACGCCGCGUGCAGGAAGGAGCCCUUCGGGGUGUAAACUGCUGUCGUGUAGGGAGAAGGGUACUAAGGUGAACAAUCUUAGUACUUGACGGUACUACAGGAGGAAGCCCAGGCUAACCUCGUG
RNAcentral lists this ribosomal RNA (496 nucleotides) under uncultured bacterium. RNAcentral's name for it is "bacterial SSU rRNA". It matches the Rfam family "Bacterial small subunit ribosomal RNA", at positions 33 to 507 of the family's 1533-position model. The record is from RNAcentral.